This 573-nucleotide ribosomal RNA is filed under the name Taphrina tormentillae. RNAcentral's name for it is "eukaryotic LSU rRNA". It matches the Rfam family "Eukaryotic large subunit ribosomal RNA", at positions 62 to 648 of the family's 3401-position model. Lineage: Eukaryota; Fungi; Ascomycota; Taphrinomycetes; Taphrinales; Taphrinaceae. The record is from RNAcentral.
AAACUAACUAGGAUGCCUUCAGUAACGGCGAGCGAAGCAGGCAUAGCUCAAAUUUGUAAUCUGGCGUCUUUGACGUCCGAGUUGUAUUUUCUAGAAGCGAGUUCGGCGACAGCUCCUACCCAAGUCCGUUGGAACGCGGCGUCAUGGAGGGUGAGAAUCCCGUGAAUGGUAGGAUGUCUGCUGCUAUGUGAACCGCCUUCGAAGAGUCGAGUUGUUUGGGAAUGCAGCUCUAAAUGGGAGGUAAAUUUCUUCUAAAGCUAAAUAUUGGCCAGAGACCGAUAGCGAACAAGUAGAGUGAUCGAAAGAUGAAAAGAACUUUGAAAAGAGAGUUAAACAGUACGUGAAAUUGUUGAAAGGGAAGCGCUUGAGAUCAGACUUCCUGUCUGGCCUGUCCUUGCUUUUGCUUGGGUCAACAGUCCAGGCGUGGAGGCCAGCAUCAGUUUUGACGGCCGGAUAAAGGCUUUGGGAAGGUAGCUCCUCUCGGGGAGUGUUAUAGCCCAGAGUGUAAUACGGCCAGUUGGGACUGAGGACCGCGGCUUUGCCUAGGAUGCUGGCGUAAUGGUCUUAAGCGAC